GGAAAAUAUAAGAUGGCGCUUUGAGUUAUUUGGUUAUUAUUUGUUCAGUUAUUCAUGAUAAACCAUGUAUAUAAAUUAUAAGCAUCGGCGCAAGAGACGAAGAAGCUUUCCACUAGUUGUAAGUUUCUUAGGACAAAUGAGAAGUUACACUGGGAUAAAAUUUUACGAAGAAAGGAAAUGAAAUAAAUCAGAAAUCAUUUAGCCAAGAAACUAAAAAGCUUCCCACCAAGUUGUAAGUUCCUUAGGACAAAUGAAAAAUUAAACUGCCAUGUUAAUUUAUGAGGAAUGGAAAUGAAUCAGAAAUGUAAAUAUAAAAGGUAUUAGGAUCACUUAUUCGGAAACCACUCAUGAAGUUUUAUCUUCUUCAGCCACUCCAACCAAUUGAUUGCAUCAAUCUACUAGCACACCAAAAUAAUUGGGAGAUCCCGGGUUCGAACUCUUAGAACAUUAAUUAAAGUCUAUACACAUUUAGAUAUUGACAUAAGCACAAGUUACUGUCCUAGAUGUGGACUUUCAUAAGUAAUUUUAUGUAUUUAGUAUGUAAUUUGUAACAAUGUAAUUUAUUCCUUCAACAGUAUAUAUCCACUUGUGUUCAAUUGUCUCAACUAAGGUUUGUAACCUGGUGCUCUUUGAACAUUGGAGUUGAUGAAUUGACAAUGAUAACAAGUAUCUAAAGGUUGAAUUUAGUUUAAAAUUUAAUUGCUAAAAGUCUAUCCGUUUCAGUUGUUUUGGUUUAUUUAUCUCUUAUGUGUCGGUUGGAAUUUUUAUGACAUUUUUUAUUUACCUUAACCCAGGUACUUUUUUGUUUGCUUAGGGAAUGUUGAAGAUUUUAUUUUGGGGAUAGUUACUCGUAUCAAAUUUAUCGAUACUUGAUUAAAUUAAUUCUUUAUACACAUCAUCGGUUUUGAUUUCAUAUCCGAGACUAUCUGUAUCGGUGUAUAGAAGUUUACAAUUUUCAAUUCCGCUCUUUUUAAGCAUAAACGAGUAACGAAAAUUGUAAAUGCACAACUUAGAACAACGUUGGUGUUAGC
Aethina tumida (small hive beetle) is the source of this 1031-nucleotide long non-coding RNA. RefSeq lists it as uncharacterized. NCBI's taxonomy places the organism in Eukaryota, Metazoa, Arthropoda, Insecta, Coleoptera, Nitidulidae. The record is from RefSeq and is a predicted model, not a curated record. The transcript is spliced from 4 exons.